This 429-nucleotide ribosomal RNA is filed under the name Saccharomycopsis fibuligera. RNAcentral's name for it is "partial large subunit ribosomal RNA". It matches the Rfam family "Eukaryotic large subunit ribosomal RNA", at positions 199 to 648 of the family's 3401-position model. Lineage: Eukaryota; Fungi; Ascomycota; Saccharomycetes; Ascoideales; Saccharomycopsidaceae. The record is from RNAcentral.
GACGUCAUAGAGGGUGAGAACCCCGUAUGAUUUUGGAUACUACUCUUUGUGGGAUUCUAUCGAAGAGUCGAGUUGUUUGGGAAUGCAGCUCUAAGUGGGUGGUAAAUUCCAUCUAAAGCUAAAUAUUGGCGAGAGACCGAUAGCGAACAAGUACAGUGAUGGAAAGAUGAAAAGAACUCUGAAGAGAGAGUGAAAAAGUACGUGAAAUUGCUGAAAGGGAAGGGCUUGAGGUCAGACUUGGUGUUUAAUGAUUAUCAGUUCUUCUUGGACUGUGCACUCGUUUUUCACCGGGCCAAUAUCAGUUUUAGCGGUAGAGUACCCCUUGAAAUGUGGCUUCCUUCGGGGAGUGUUAUAGUCUUGGGGAGAUCUACUUGCUGGGACUGAGGACUGCGCUUCGGCAAGGAUAUUGGCGUAAUGACCUUAAGCCGC